UUGAACGCUGGCGGCAUGCUUUACACAUGCAAGUCGAACGGUAACAGGCCUUCGGGUGCUGACGGGUGGCGAACGGGUGAGUAAUGCAUCGGAACGUACCCAGAGGUGGGGGAUAACGCAGCGGAAGCUGUGCUAAUACCGCAUGUGAUCUGAGGAUGAAAGCGGGGGACCGAGCAGCAAUGUUUGGCCUCGCGCCUUUGGAGCGGCCGAUGUCGGAUUAGCUAGUUGGUGGGGUAAAGGCCUACCAAGGCGACGAUCCGUAGCUGGUCUGAGAGGACGACCAGCCACACGGGGACUGAGACACGGCCCAGACUCCUACGGGGGGCAGCAGUGGGGAAUUUUGGACAAUGGGCGCAAGCCUGAUCCAGCAAUGCCGCGUGCGGGAAGAAGGCCUUCGGGUUGUAAACCGCUUUUGGCAGGAACGAAACGGUGUCCGCUAAUACCGGGCGCUAAUGACGGUACCUGCAGAAUAAGCACCGGCUAACUACGUG
Molecule: ribosomal RNA, 491 nt
Filed under: uncultured bacterium
Lineage: Bacteria
Description: partial 16S ribosomal RNA
Rfam family: Bacterial small subunit ribosomal RNA
Source: RNAcentral